RNAcentral lists this ribosomal RNA (116 nucleotides) under Jaculus jaculus (lesser Egyptian jerboa). Lineage: Eukaryota; Metazoa; Chordata; Mammalia; Rodentia; Dipodidae. The record is from RNAcentral.
UCUGACUAAUAUAUACCCUGAACACACCUGAUCUUAUCUGAUGUUGGAAGCUAAGCACGGUUGGGCCCAGUUAGUAUUUGUAUGAGAGAUUAAUAAUAAUAACAAUAUAUUCAAAU